Molecule: ribosomal RNA, 253 nt
Filed under: uncultured bacterium
Lineage: Bacteria
Description: partial 16S ribosomal RNA
Rfam family: Bacterial small subunit ribosomal RNA
Source: RNAcentral
UACAGAGGGUGCGAGCGUUAAUCGGAAUUACUGGGCGUAAAGCGCACGUAGGUGGCGACGUAAGUCGGGUGUGAAAGCCCCGGGCUCAACCUGGGAAUUGCAUUCGAGACUGCAUUGCUGGAGUACGGAAGAGGAAGGCGGAAUUCCCGGUGUAGCGGUGAAAUGCGUAGAUAUCGUAAGGAAGACCAGUGGCGAAGGCGGGUCUCUGGACAGUUCCUGACGCUGAGGCACGAAGGCCAGGGGAGCAAACGGG